UCUGAGUCAUAGGCAUCAGGGAAGGCUUUUCGUAGGAGUAGAUGUCUAUACCAAAUCCUGAAGAAUGAAUAGAAACAAGCUGUUAGAGAAGUUGGUGGAAAGUAGGGAGAUAAAGAGAAGAAUAAGAAUAUUUACCAGGAAAACAAAAUAGAGAGCACCAAACCCCAGAGGAAAGAGACAGCAUGGAGUGUGGCUGGAGCAGAAAAUGAAGAUCAUUCUGGUGUGAAAAUUGGUUUGGUUGGGGAUCAAGCCCGGAGCACUGGAAACAAAUUAGGAUACUAAAUCAGUUCUCAAAAUCGAAGUUGAAUGUCCUAACAAUAGGAAGAGAUUGAUUGGAGACAGAUUAAGGAGAUGGAACCCGUAAAAGACAUACUCAUAGGAUGAAGAGACUGUGUUAAAAAGGGGACAGAAAAAUGAUGGGAUACCUUGCUUGCACCUUUCCAGGUACUUCCAGGUAAACAUUAAACAAUGGUAUGGAUAUCAGAAAAUGACACUACCGUAGAAACAAGCAGCCAAGCAUAAUAUUGGUGAAGACAGGCUUUAUUGUUGGACAAACUGGCUUUGGAAUAAUAUGACGGAUCACACUUGCUUGUCACGUACUCUUGGGAUAAAAUUAUGUAAAUUAUUUGAUCUUCAGUUUCCUCAUCCAUAAAAUGGGAAUAAUAACAUGAA
Long non-coding RNA from Gorilla gorilla gorilla (western lowland gorilla), 672 nucleotides. RefSeq lists it as uncharacterized. The transcript is spliced from 3 exons. NCBI's taxonomy places the organism in Eukaryota, Metazoa, Chordata, Mammalia, Primates, Hominidae. The record is from RefSeq and is a predicted model, not a curated record.